Long non-coding RNA from Sapajus apella (tufted capuchin), 749 nucleotides. RefSeq lists it as uncharacterized. Lineage: Eukaryota; Metazoa; Chordata; Mammalia; Primates; Cebidae. The record is from RefSeq and is a predicted model, not a curated record. The transcript has 2 exons.
AGUAAACUGAGAUCAUGCCAUUGUACUCUAACCUGGGCAAUAACGCAAAACUCCAAUCUCAAAAAAAAAAAGAAAAAAACCUCUGUAUGCAUUGUCUCAUUUAACCCUUACAAUGACCUACAAGUUUGCCAUCAUCAUUAUCCCCAUUUUACAGAUGAGAAACUGAAACCCAGGGGUCACACAGUAAGUGUUGAGGUUGGAACUUGGACCCAGCUUGUCUGGCUGAGAAGCUUGUGCCUGGAGUUAUGACGCUGGCUUUGAAGAUGGAAGAGGGGACCAUCAGCCAAGGAAUGCAGCCCAAGAAGCUGGAAAAGUUACGAAAACCAAUUUUCCCCUAGAGGCUCCAGAAGGAAUGCAGCCCUGCUUACACCUUGGUUUUAGCCUCCAUAAGACCCAUUUUGGACUUCUGAUUUCCAGAACUGUAAGACAAUAAAAAUCAUCUUGUUUUAAGCCACAAAUUUGUGGUAAUUUGUGCAACUGAUACAGAUAUUAUUGCCAAAAAUAUAGAAAACUGACUCCGGUUUUCACGUAGCGUGGACUGAAUAAUUAACAUACAAAUCCACAUUCCCAUUCACUCUGCCUCUGGCUUGGUGUACUUGGGGGAGCAAAUGCACAGUGGUGUGUAUGUGGCUUCUUGUCUUGAAGAAUGAGAGCACCUGUAGCCACCUAGACCCACACAAACCACUUCUGGUGUUAUUUUCACAAGUAAGCAUGUUUGAUUUGUUCCUUCAACAAACAUUUACUGAGUA